UACGUAGGGGGCAAGCGUUGUCCGGAUUCAUUGGGCGUAAAGCGCACGCAGGCGGCCCGGCAAGUCGGUCGUGAAAUCCUCCGGCUCAACUGGAGGGGGUCGGCCGAAACUGUCGGGCUUGAGGUCGGAAGGGGGAAGCGGAAUUCCCGGUGUAGUGGUGGAAUGCGUAGAUAUCGGGAGGAACACCAGUGGCGAAGGCGGCUUCCUGGUCCGACUCUGACGCUGAGGUGCGAAAGCGUGGGGAGCGAUCCGG
RNAcentral lists this ribosomal RNA (253 nucleotides) under uncultured bacterium. Its description in RNAcentral is "partial 16S ribosomal RNA". It matches the Rfam family "Bacterial small subunit ribosomal RNA", at positions 524 to 776 of the family's 1533-position model. The record is from RNAcentral.